GAUGAACGCUGGCGGCGUGCCUAAUACAUGCAAGUCGAGCGAACGGACGAGAAGCUUGCUUCUCUGAUGUUAGCGGCGGACGGGUGAGUAACACGUGGAUAACCUACCUAUAAGACUGGGAUAACUUCGGGAAACCGGAGCUAAUACCGGAUAAUAUUUUGAACCGCAUGGUUCAAAAGUGAAAGACGGUCUUGCUGUCACUUAUAGAUGAAUCCGCGCUGCAUUAGCUAGUUGGUAAGGUAACGGCUUACCAAGGCAACGAUGCAUAGCCUACCUGAGAGGGUGAUCGGCCACACUGGAACUGAGACACGGUCCAGACUCCUACGGGAGGCAGCAGUAGGGAAUCUUCCGCAAUGGGCGAAAGCCUGACGGAGCAACGCCGCGUGAGUGAUGAAGGUCUUCGGAUCGUAAAACUCUGUUAUUAGGGAAGAACAUAUGUGUAAGUAACUGUGCACAUCUUGACGGUACCUAAUCAGAAAGCCACGGCUAACUACGUG
Molecule: ribosomal RNA, 497 nt
Filed under: uncultured bacterium
Lineage: Bacteria
Description: partial 16S ribosomal RNA
Rfam family: Bacterial small subunit ribosomal RNA
Source: RNAcentral